Molecule: ribosomal RNA, 484 nt
Filed under: uncultured bacterium
Lineage: Bacteria
Description: partial 16S ribosomal RNA
Rfam family: Bacterial small subunit ribosomal RNA
Source: RNAcentral
AUUGAACGCUGGCGGCAGGCCUAACACAUGCAAGUCGAGCGGAUGAACGGAGCUUGCUCCUGGAUUCAGCUGCGGACGGGUGAGUAAUUCCUAGGAAUCUGCCUGGCAGUUGGUGAUAACGUCCAGAAGCGGGCGCUAAUACCGCAUACGUCCUUAGGGAGAAAGGGUGGGAUCUUCGGACCUCACGCUAUCAGAUGAGCCUAUGUCGGAUUAGCUAGUUGGUGGGGUAAAGGCCUACCAAGGCGACGAUCCGUAACUGGUCUGAGAGGAUGAUCAGUCACACUGGAACUGAGACACGGUCCAGACUCCUACGGGAGGCAGCAGUGGGGAAUAUUGGACAAAGGGCGAAAGCCUGAUCCAGCCAUGCCGCGUGUGUGAAGAAGGUCUUCGGAUUGUAAAGCACUUUUAGUUGGGAAGAAGAGCAGUAAGUUAAUACCUUGCUGUUUUGACGUUACCAAAAGAAUAAGCACCGGCUAACUUCGUG